UAAGCGGAGGAAAAGAAACUAACAAGGAUUCCCCUAGUAACUGCGAGUGAAGCGGGAAAAGCUCAAAUUUAAAAUCUGGCAGUCUUUGGCUGUCCGAGUUGUAAUCUAGAGAAGUGUUACCCGCGUCGGACCGUGUAUAAGUCUCCUGGAAUGGAGCGUCAUAGAGGGUGAGAAUCCCGUCUUUGACACGGACUCCCGAGGCAUUGUGGUAUGCUCUCAAAGAGUCGAGUUGUUUGGGAAUGCAGCUCAAAAUGGGUGGUAAAUUCCAUCUAAAGCUAAAUAUUGGCGAGAGACCGAUAGCGAACAAGUACCGUGAGGGAAAGAUGAAAAGAACUUUGGAAAGAGAGUUAAACAGUACGUGAAAUUGCUGAAAGGGAAACGCUUGAAGUCAGUCGCGUCGGCCGGAAAUCAACCUUGCUUUUGCUGGGCGUACUUUCUGGUUGACGGGCCAGCAUCAGUUUUGACCGGUGGAAAAAGUCUAAGGGAAUGUGGCAUCUUCGGAUGUGUUAUAGCCCUUGGUCGUAUACAUCGGUUGGGACUGAGGAACUCAGCAUGCCGCAAGGCCGGGUCUUUGACCACGUUCAUGCUUAGGAUGCUGGCAUAAUGGCUUUAAUCGACCCGUCUUGAAACACGGACCAAGGAGUCUAACAUGCCUGCGAGUAUUUGGGUGGAAAACCCGAGUGCGCAAUGAAAGUGAAAGUUGAGAUCCCUGUCGUGGGGAGCAUCGACGCCCGGACCAGAAGUUCUCUGACGGAUCUGCGGUAGAGCAUGUAUGUUGGGACCCGAAAGAUGGUGAACUAUGCCUGAAUAGGGUGAAGCCAGAGGAAACUCUGGUGGAGGCUCGUAGCGAUUCUGACGUGCAAAUCGAUCGUCAAAUUUGGGUAUAGGGGCGAAAGACUAAUCGAACCAUCUAGUACUUGGUUCCU
RNAcentral lists this ribosomal RNA (926 nucleotides) under Kauffmania larga. RNAcentral's name for it is "partial 25S large subunit ribosomal RNA". It matches the Rfam family "Eukaryotic large subunit ribosomal RNA", at positions 47 to 959 of the family's 3401-position model. The record is from RNAcentral. Lineage: Eukaryota; Fungi; Basidiomycota; Agaricomycetes; Agaricales; Psathyrellaceae.